Molecule: ribosomal RNA, 430 nt
Filed under: uncultured bacterium
Lineage: Bacteria
Description: bacterial SSU rRNA
Rfam family: Bacterial small subunit ribosomal RNA
Source: RNAcentral
GGACCCGCACAAGUAGUGGAGCAUGUGGUUUAAUUCGAAGAUACGCGCAGAACCUUACCAACACUUGACAUGUUCGUCGCGACUUUAAGAGAUUAAAGUUUUCGGUUCGGCCGGACGAAACACAGGUGCUGCAUGGCUGUCGUCAGCUCGUGUCGUGAGAUGUUGGGUUAAGUCCCGCAACGAGCGCAACCCUCACUUUUAGUUGCCAUCAUUAAGUUGGGCACUCUGAAAGAACUGCCAGUGAUAAGCUGGAGGAAGGUGGGGAUGACGUCAAGUCCUCAUGGCCCUUACGUGUUGGGCUACACACGUGCUACAAUGGUAUUUACAACAGGAAGCAAGACGGCGACGUUAAGCAAAUCCUUAAAAAAUACCUCAGUUCGGAUUGCACUCUGCAACUCGAGUGCAUGAAGCUGGAAUUACUAGUAAUCGU